UUAACAAUGAUGUUCAGAAUACUAAGCAAAUAAAGAAAUAAAAAGUCUGAAGACAGUAACCUUGUGCUAUUUUUUAGCUAAAUAAUUCAGCUUUUCCAAAUGAAAAUAUGAACCCAUGAAGUUAGCUUGUAUAUCAUGAAAAAUAAGCAGAUUGUGAGAAAAGAAAAUGAGUAAGUUUGAAGAUUAAUGCCAAAAUCCAUAAAGCAUUAAAUGCAUGCAUACACAUUGUACAAUGGCUAUUCUGCAUAACUAAAUAUCUCACUUAUUUAUUAAAUAAGAAAUAUAUUUGCCAAUUUUAUAAGAAUUAUUCAAUAGCUACUGUGUCCAGUCCCUCUCACAAAUUCAAAGAAAAAAUAGAACAACUCAUAAUUUCUGUCUUGGGCUGUUUAUUUUCCUGAAAAUAACAGAAACAAGUAACGAGAGGAUUGUGGGAGGGCAUAAUGACCUUAGAAAACAUGCUCAGCCUGUGAUUAUUAUCACAGAAAAUAUUCAUCUGUGAUUAUUCUGUAAUUAUCAAUACUCACAAAUAGAAGCCACUUGCCUAGCUUAUCUGCCAGGAUAUGUACUAAAAUGGGAGUAAUUAAUCCACAUAUCACAGUGUAAAAAUCACUUGACUUUGGAAGACUUGAAGGAAUUUUGGAUGAUGGUCAGCAAGCAGAUCUUUUUUUUUUUUUUUUUUUAAGUAACUAGGUGAAUUACCUGUUUGCUUUUUCUUUCUUCCCUCAAAUCAUAACACAAAAAGUACCAAACAGUCAGAGUAUUAUGUAACAGCCGAGGACUGAUAUCAAGGAAUGAAGCUGCAUGGUCUCAUGCAUGUCAUAGAGAUCUAAAUGCAUAGGUGGCAUACAUUCUAGACCAUAAAAUGUCUUGCUUUGAUUUUAAAGGUAAGGCUUAUACAUGUAUAUUGAUGACAUACCAAUUACAGUUAUGGUAAUUUUCAUACAUUUGCCUUUGAGAGGGGGAGUUGUAAUGACUUUUGUUCACAUUUCCUUGUAAAUAAAUUGUAUCUUAACAGUGAAUUUAAUUUGUGGACAAUUUCUCUCUUUACCAUGACAAUGCAGACAAUGAAAACCAGGGAACUUCAAACAGCAACUUGAGGUUGCUUCUGCUUCUGUGGUAUGUGCAUCAAUAAGCUAUACAAAAAAAAAAUUUUUAAAAGUAUUCCGAAUAUUCUAAAUCAACAAGUUUUCAUUUUAUUUUUAAUCUGCUUUCUGCUUCUCUUCUAUUCUAUCUAAUCUCUUACUCAUCAUCAACAUCAUUCAUUUCUCUGCUGCUUUAUUUUACCACUGAACAUUUCUGUACAUCAUGUUGUAUUUGUCAUCUUCCCAGAUGACCAAAUACCGUAUUUCAGCUGCCAGAAACUCUUGCAAAGUUAUCAUCACAAAAGCCUUCCCCUGUUUCUGUCAUAUUGCUGUAAUGGCAUUAUUAUACUGUGCAAGCACCACAUUCUUCCAAAAAUCUUGUCAGGUUUCUGUCCAAGAAAUGCUCCAGGAUCAAAGUGAAUUUCUGUUUAUGUCCAGCUUUGGAAUGGCCACAGAGUUAUCUGUCACUGGUACAGGUGUAUGAAGUAGUAAUUGCAGGCAUGUUAGGCAGGAAAAACACUGUAUGUGGUUGGCCUUCUUUCUUCCCUAUCCAUUCAUUGACAGUGAUGAAGCCAACUAGUACAUAUACUAUUAUCAAUCACAAAUUAUUAUUUUUAUAGCAAACAGAGUUUCUGUGAGGUAUCAAAUAAACUGACUGAGCACCACGCAAGCUUUACUUUUGAGUUAAGACAAUUACACCAGCAGGGUUGAAAAUCUUUAGUGGCUACAUGAGUACAAACUGCUCUAGGAAGUGCAUUUCAGUGCUGGGGAAGAAUGCAUGACAUAAAAUUGAUUAAACAUAAUAGUUAACAGCUACAGCUAACAGUAACAGGUAAUUAAGAAUAUAAUAUAACCAUUUUUUCCCUAUUCCCUAUUCUUCUUGGCAUAGUUGGCAAGGAUUAUUCCCCACUCCCACUAAAACAUGUAAAAAACACUUGCUAAUUCCUGCCACUGGUGAAGAAAAAAGGCAUCUUUGCUUUCACUUGUUCACAGAGACCAAUGUGAACCUGAACUAAUCACAGCAGAAUUUUACACGAAACAUAAAUAUUAAAAUCAAGAGAUACUUUUUGCUCUGAACAAAUUCCGUAAAGAAAGACUACUGUCUCUGUCUCUCUGGAAGCCUCUCAGGAAUCCCGGCCAGCCCGGGGCAGCCCCGAAGCAGCCGAUAGCGGGGGAGGACACCCUCUCGUGCCCCGAGGGUACUGAUGGCAAUUAGGCUAGUCGCGUUCGCAGCAGAAGAGACACAGGAGACAACGGUAGACCAUAAAAGGCCGACUGUCAGCAGGGGCCAGUGCAAGGUUUAUUUAGAGCUCCCGAGGAGGCCCCUCACCUCAGGGGGCCUCUUGGUCCGAGUGCCCGGGAGGAAUGCUGAGGUCACAUUUAAAGGAUGGGAGGCAACGGAAGAUUGACUUCUACUUGGUAAGGUGCAGAAGGAGAAGCAUAAAGGCUAUUUAGAGCACAGCUGCUCCAUGGGACCCAAGGGGGACUCUGGAAUCAAGAAAUCAGUCUUGCAUUUUUUUACCAGCAGGAGCUGACAGAACUUGGGGGCAAGGAAAAUGAGUGCAAGAAUUAGGGUCCAAGUGCUGACAAAUCAGUAAAAUGACAAAGUGGCCAUCAGUGGAGCUGACCUAAGACACUCAACGAGCAGGCAGAAAAUUCACUUUCUGUGAAGACUGCAGAUUGCAAAUGAUAAGCUCUACUGAAGAAUCUUGCGAGGAGAGGCUGAGAGAGCUGGGCCCAUUUAGUCUAGAGAGGAGAAGGCUGAGAGGGAAGAUCAAUAACACAUAUAAAUAUCCCAAAAGUCGGGGCCAAGAGGAUGAUGCCAGACUGUUCAGUGGUGUCCAGAGACUGGGAAAAGAGCAAGGGCCAUAAACUAAAACACAAGAAGUUCCAUCUCAACAUGAGGAAAAACUUUGUGUUAAGGGAGGCAGAGCACUGGAACAGGCUGCCCAGGGAGGUUGUAUAGCCUCCCUCUCCAGACACAUUCAAAACUCAGCUGGAUGAGUUCCUGAGUUACCUGCUCUGGGUGACCCUGAUGGGAUGGAAUAGAAGAAGUUGAGAAGAAUAGUCCAAAAUAAGGAUUAUUCUGGGAGCCUUCUACCAGCACUACUCCUUAUGUCUAAAAUUAAAUGCUGCACCUUCUAUUUUCAGUAACACCUGUCUUGUUUUCUUCUCAGUAGAUCCCAGUAUCUGAACUUGAAAACCAGUAUCACUUAAACAAGGAAGUAUUAACUUAAAAUCUGUAAAUUUUCUGUUUUGAACAUCCUGCCUUUGUUGCCUAUCCUUUUGCCUAUCAAAUCACAGUAACAAGAAUCUUGAAUCAAGAAAGUAAAUUUUAGUAUUGUGCCCCGAUUUUAAAGACAGAGAUACCAAGAAAUUUACCAAUUGGCAUUAUUAAAAGCUUUCUCUAAAGGAAAUUUUUCACCAUUUUCUCUAGAGAAUGAUUACAUAAAAGGACACGGCAGAUGUGACCUACGGAAGUGCUGGUAAUUUCCACCAGCUUUUAGCAGGCUUGAAAAACACUCUAUUGUGCAAUCCUUGACUGAUGCAGAAGUCAAUAUUUUUAUUAAGUACUGAAAGUGAUGAUAUCAGGAAUGAAUCUGCACAGAUUUCACCGUGUGCAACACUGGAGGAAUGUUUUCUAGCUUAAACAUUUGAAAAGAUAGAAAUAAGCGUUCUAUUUUUAACUAGACUUUCAAUUUAAUUGCCAUCAGUUGGAGGGGAUUCCUGUUAGCCUAGGAAUAAUUAUGAUUCCAAAUAGUAACCAAGGGCUGUAACUCAGAGGUUUUGUAAUCCCCUUCUGCUGUUCUGAACACCUCUACUUUUCUUGAGCCACCUCUACAACCUUUCUCUACAUGCAGGCAGCCAGCAUCUAUCUGCAGUGCUAUCAUCAUUAUCCUGACUACUUUAUCCUUUAUCUCUGCAAUGUAUUUCAAUCUCAGAUUUAUGCAAAAGCUUUAGAAAUAACACUUUUAGGCACAGUGUACUAAACAUCUCAGUCAUUUUUAAUUUCUGCACUUGAUUACCAAAAUCAAUGUCAAAUUUAGUAUCAUAUUUGCAAUUUAAAUUAUUCUAAUCUCUUAUUUUAGCCCACAUUUCUGUAUCAAAUUACUGCUGGAGACUUAGCCUUAGUUGGUGAACUUCCUGUGACUGUACAGCUCUUACAGAAUGCAAUUCCACUUUAAUGGCACACAAAGGCCACACUUCAGUUAUUAAAUUAUGAUAUAUGAUAAUAGGAUCCAAUUGAGUAUGUUUGCUAUUUAACUUUUCUGUUCAAACUACACUAUUUUUCUGUUAUAAAAUCUAUUGAAGGAAACCAUUAUUUGAGAUGUUAUUUCUAUUGUGUAAUUACAAUUUUUUAAGUUGUCAGUACUCAAAAGAAUAACUAAUAUAAUAUCUUUGUUUAUCUCAUAUGAAACAGAAGAUACUUUAGAGAAAUAGUUAAAAUUAGCUUGUUAACUUUUCCAUGUUUUAAAAAUCUGAAUGGGAAAAGGAGAAUUGCUUUCCUUCAUGAACAGCAAUUCCAUUUUAUCAUUAACUUAUCCUUGACCAAACAUCAUAAAGCCUUGACCAUAAUACCAUAAGUAAUGUUUAUGAAACAAAUGGGAAUUCUGUUGUUUAUUUUAUUGGAAAAAAAUACAGUGCAAUACAAGGGCAAACUAAUCUGGAGCAAUUUUCAUCAGCAAAGCCCAAAAGUGCUGAAGUGCUGAGGUUUUUUUCUUUUUGUAGAAGAACUGAAAAGUUGUUUGUAUUACUAAAGAUAAUUCUACAUUCCUCAUGGAAAAUAUCAUAUGAAAGAAGACUCACAUGUAGAUUGCCAAAUAUAUUUGGCGUAGUGUAUCAGUUCAGGAAAAAAUAAGGAAAAAGAAGAAGUGCUUGAUUUUAUCUAGCAGCCCUGCUCAAUAAAUUCAUUAAGUCAAAAUUAGUUAACCUGAUAAAUUUUGUAUAUAAUAUAAACUUCCUAACAGCAAUUUUUCUCUCCUCAUAUCCCAAUCUAGUACUGAGGUCUGAUUUUAUCUAGCAUUUCUAAUGAGUGAUUUACUGGCUUACUAUUUUUAUAUCUGUGGUAUUAAAAUGAUAUUGUGGAAGAGGUUUUGUCACAAUGAAAGCUGGAGUCAUACAAAAAGAGCUUCUGGAUUCUCUGUGAACACUGGACCUGCUGGAUAUGAAGGUGAAAAAGCAUAUGCAUUUCUAACACAGCUACAGAAUUUCUUCUUUGCCAAUGCAGUAUUGUACUGCAGUAUUUGACAGUGCACUCCUAUACAAAGGUGGUUAUUUUCACAUUCAAAUUUGCAAGAUUUCAUUGCUUUCUAAGCACUGUAAUCACAUCCCUUUUCACUCCAGUCACUCUACUCAUGGAUACCCACCUAUUCCUCUUCCCAUUCUUUAUAUUUGACUUAUGAAAUUAUAACAUCUUAUUUGGCUAUUAGGUUCUUAAUUUAAAGAAAAUUAAUCUAAGUACCCUGUUUAUCUUUUAAGAUCUCAGUGUUGUCAGGGUUUCCCUUGUCAAUAGAAUCUAAUAUGGUGUCAGAAGACUUUUGCUGCCACUAUUCUCAGCAUUUUAUGCCUGUUAAGAUCUAGCAGUGUCCUGAGCCAGAGAAUACAACCAAUUAUGAAAACCAAAUAUGAAACUUUAGGUGUUGCCAAGCACAAUUUAGAUAUUAGACCAAAUAAACAGUCCAGGAAGAAAAUACUAUGUAUUUGCAUUUUGAAAGCACCCAAACCUGCAGUAGUUUUCAUUGAAAUAAAAAGUCAGAAGAGAGACAUGGCAGCAAUCCUUUUAUUUAGUAAUGCAUAGACAAAGUUUCAGACAGCUUUGUGGUUUGUAUGUCUUAUUAACUAGACCUAACCGUUUUCCCAUUUAGGUGGGACUUUUAGGCUACACUUUGGAGACACAUAAUUCCAGCAUUCAAAUCUACCUUAGUUGAAAAAAUGGCAAAUUUUCAGGUGGCACAAUACUGAAACUAUAUGACCUCUCCAGAUCUUUCUUUUAUUUCUACUUAUUUAUGCUUUGUACAAUGCUUAGCAUUGUGAAACAUAUUUAUGAAAGGCAUAAUUUGUAUAAGACUACAAAACAUAAAGCAACUAUGUCACAUGCAUAAUAUAUAUUAAAAUAAACCAAUAAGCCCAGCAUUAAUACCCAUACUAUGUUAUCUCCUGUUAGAGAAAAUAAAUAGUCAUCCUAGUUUGUCCUGCCAAUAGUUUCUUCCCUGAGUAAUACCAAAGAUAAUCUACCAGUCCUCAAAUUUCUCAAGUCUGCCAUUUAUGAUAGCCAGGAACAUUUCUUGAUAUUUUCAGUAUCAAAUUGUGACAUUACUUGACAUGAUUUUAUAAGUGGAGUUCCAGAACUUAUCAAAUUUCACCUUUACAAAGGCCUGGGUAGACUUAUAAAAGGAAUAUGAUAGAAGUCCUGUUUUAUUUUUUUUCACAUACUUUAGAAGCCAUCUGCUUUUACAAACAGGAAAAGUAUAUCUGCUAGCUAGACUCAGCACUAUGAAAAGUAUAUACAAGUAACAAUAUAAGUAAAUGUAUGUGAGAAAGCAGGGAAAUAUGGAUGAACAGUGAGUCCUGCAUUUAGGUGGUCUAACUUAAAUUAGUUCAGUUCAUGAUCAGUUAGUCAUGAAAAUGUUUAGUGUUAGUAGCAACAAGAGGACUAAGUUUUCUUCAUACAAUACAGAGAAAAUGAAAUGAAAACACUCAUACCCAUUACUCUAUUUCAUAUGCAUUAUGUAUGGAAUACUAUAUAUUAUUCAAAACUUUUUAUUUGACUAUUCCAUAAAAGACUGAUUCUUCUGAUUUUUUUUUGAGAGGUCUUUACUGACCACACUCAGAACUAGCAACUUUUUUCCCAGAGCAAUUUUCUUUAUUCCACUAUGCAGACAGAAAUUAUUCUAAGGAGGAAGCUACAUAAAAUUAUCCUGAUAAUGUGCACAGAAUUAAAGAUUCAAAAAGAAAUGAAAAGGUACAUACACAAUUGUCUUUGUACAGUUUGCAAUUUAUCUUUAGAUUCAGAGCACUGUAUGAAUCACCCAUGAGAAUUAAACUAACCUCUGCUUUAAGAAUCAUCUGUCUGUUUGCCAAUGGCAUGUAUUAAUCAGAGUCUUAUUUUCAAAUAUUACACUUGAGAUUGAUUGACAUUUAGGCAAAA
Long non-coding RNA from Motacilla alba alba, 7230 nucleotides. RefSeq lists it as uncharacterized. The transcript has 3 exons. The record is from RefSeq and is a predicted model, not a curated record. Lineage: Eukaryota; Metazoa; Chordata; Aves; Passeriformes; Motacillidae.